This is a long non-coding RNA of Rosa chinensis, 629 nucleotides long. RefSeq lists it as uncharacterized. Lineage: Eukaryota; Viridiplantae; Streptophyta; Magnoliopsida; Rosales; Rosaceae. The transcript is spliced from 4 exons. The record is from RefSeq and is a predicted model, not a curated record.
AUUGCAAUGUAGUAGUCACUAGUCAGUCCAAAGAAGAAACAAUCUGGAGGAAAAGAGUAGGAAUCUUGGUGGGUGUGGUUGUUGGAAUAUUUGUGCCUUUUAGUGCUUUUGGUUUGAGCUGUAUCAUUUUGUGUAGAAAAUAUCUCCCUCGGGGAGUAUCGGAGCAGCAUUUGCUGUAUUAAUCAGAGCAAGAUCACCCAGUAGCAGUAGGGUUCUCCAAUGAGAUUCUAACAAAUGCGGGUUUCUUUCAUAAGCAGCAAAGGCAAGCAUGCUAGGUCUCCCAGGAUGCCGAUCACAUUUUCAUUAGAGGAGUUGGUGGAUGUUACCAGAAAUUUUGACAGCCUUUUUGGGCUUCGUUCAUACGGGAAGCUCUACAAAGGUAGAUUAGAGAAUGGGAUCCAAGUUGUUAUUAGGCGCCUACGUGUGUCAAACAAAUAUACAAUUUGAAAUCUUAAACUCCGGUUGGAUUUGCUUGCCAAGCUUCGUCACCCGCAUGCCUUUUAGGACACCGCCUUGAUGGUGGUGGAUAUGAUUACAGUGUGAACAAGGUGUGUCUUGUAUCUGAGUAUGUGCCAAAUGGGACAUUUCGUGCUAAACUCUGGUAGAUCUGAAAAGGUUCUCAACUGGCC